This 74-nucleotide transfer RNA is filed under the name Marmota monax (woodchuck). Its description in RNAcentral is "tRNA.Val". Lineage: Eukaryota; Metazoa; Chordata; Mammalia; Rodentia; Sciuridae. The record is from RNAcentral.
GCUGGGAUCAUGGCUCAGUGGCAGAGCGCGGGCCUCACAUGUGUGAGGCACUGGGUUCAAUUCUCAGCACCGCA